This 533-nucleotide ribosomal RNA is filed under the name uncultured bacterium. RNAcentral's name for it is "partial 16S ribosomal RNA". It matches the Rfam family "Bacterial small subunit ribosomal RNA", at positions 355 to 882 of the family's 1533-position model. The record is from RNAcentral.
UGGGGAAUUUUGGACAAUGGGCGAAAGCCUGAUCCAGCAAUGCCGCGUGUGUGAAGAAGGCCUUCGGGUUGUAAAGCACUUUUGUCCGGAAAGAAAUCCUUGGCUCUAAUACAGUCGGGGGAUGACGGUACCGGAAGAAUAAGCACCGGCUAACUACGUGCCAGCAGCCGCGGUAAUACGUAGGGUGCAAGCGUUAAUCGGAAUUACUGGGCGUAAAGCGUGCGCAGGCGGUUUGCUAAGACCGAUGUGAAAUCCCCGGGCUAACCUGGGAACUGCAUUGGUGACUGGCAGGCUAGAGUAUGGCAGAGGGGGGUAGAAUUCCACGUGUAGCAGUGAAAUGCGUAGAGAUGUGGAGGAAUACCGAUGGCGAAGGCAGCCCCCUGGGCCAAUACUGACGCUCAUGCACGAAAGCGUGGGGAGCAAACAGGAUUAGAUACCCUGGUAGUCCACGCCCUAAACGAUGUCAACUAGUUGUUGGGGAUUCAUUUCCUUAGUAACGUAGCUAACGCGUGAAGUUGACCGCCUGGGGAGUA